Molecule: long non-coding RNA, 838 nt
Organism: Mastomys coucha (southern multimammate mouse)
Lineage: Eukaryota; Metazoa; Chordata; Mammalia; Rodentia; Muridae
Exons: 2
Source: RefSeq, a predicted model, not a curated record
UGUGUGGUGGGUUGAAUGAAAUGUAUCUCAUAAGUCUCAGAUAUUUGAAUACUGUUUGCAAUGCAUGAGGAUGUGAGGAGGAGGUGUGAUCCUGGGGGUGAUCUUCAAAAGCCUCCCUCCGUCUCCACUGUGCUCUCUCUGCUUCCUGUGUGUGGAUCAGGAUGUGAGCUCUCAGCUGUUCCAGCAUCACACCUGCCCGCUACCGUACUUCCUGCUAUCAUGAUGAUGGACUGCUAUCCCUGUGGAACUAGGUCAGUGACUGGAUGGAAGCCCAGGUCUCAGAAGGCUUGUGAAGUCCAUGAAGAUCACAGGAGGGGGCCAAGAGAGAAGUUGCAGGUUUGGCUGUGGUGACCUUCCAAGGCCUGGGAGUAAAGAGGGUGAUUGCCCCUUCUGAAGAUGAAGGGAAGCCACAGACUCAUUCAGAUAAGAGGGUCUCCUCCCUCUGACCCCUCGGGCUCCAGUGUGAUCUAUGCCCUCUGGAAUCAAACUCUUAAUUGACUGCUUUGAGUCCUGGGAAGGCGUUGACCUCUUUUUCCUCCGAAGGAUGUGAGCAGCUGUCUCUGAGGCGAUUUUUCUUAGCCCCUCCUCCUCCCUCGAGGAGUUAGCAUCAACAGCAUCAUCUUGGAGGCAGGCCUUCCUUGAUGAUUUCUUUAGAGACAGGAAUCCUGGUGAUUCCUGUUAGAGGCACCUGCUAAUUGCCAUCACUGCCAUUUCCCCGUAAGCAGUCCUGAUUCUGUGUGUGGUGUGUUUGGCUAUUUGGUUCCCCACCCCCAAACUCCCACUGGAGUGUAAAAAGUCAGGAAGUGUUCAAAAACAUUUCUUAAAUAAAACAAUCCGG